Molecule: non-coding RNA, 982 nt
Organism: Xyrichtys novacula (pearly razorfish)
Lineage: Eukaryota; Metazoa; Chordata; Actinopteri; Labriformes; Labridae
Source: the annotation of a GenBank genome assembly
GCCAAUUUUAAAAUAGCAAAAAUAAGAAUAUCUUUUGCAACAGCUCAAAUACUAAGGAUGUUAUGUAUACAAAAAUUAAAGUUUAAUUUUUAAAUUAGGCAAUUUUAGUGUUUUUUCAUAUAGAUGAAUUGCCUGUGGCUUUAAAAAAUGUCAUGUGGUGCGACCAUCAUUUAUCUCAAAAUUAUUACAUUUUUUCAACAUACUUCAUAGUUUUUUACAAAUUGUCGGUAACAUCAAGUACAUAGGAACAAAGCGUUUGCAUUUUAUUUGAGAUUUUGUAAAUAAUUAUCUCAUAUAUUAGCUCUAUAAUGUCACAGACGCUAUAUCAAAUGUAGUUCACUGACUAUUUUUUUCUUUAAAUUACAUAAUACUGAUAAAAAUGUUUUGAAACUACCUUUCAUGUAAGCAUAUUGUAUCAGGUAUUAAUGUCUCGGUUACAGAAAUGAGAUAUUUUAGUUUGUAUUUGAUAUAACUAAUGUUAUUAUUGGUCGCACCACAUGAUUGGUGGUCGCGCCAAAUGACCUGAAGACCUUGUAUCAUUAAAAAUCAAUUUAAAGAGACCUAUGAACAAUUAAUUUCAUGCAAAUUUUAUAUUAAAACCAAAUUUUAUUAAAAUUUCAAACAUGAACGCGAACAUUUUAUUUCCCUUUUUUUACAAAAAUUUAACUCUGUGUGUGUUUGUGUAUGUGGUCCAGAGGCCUGCACUAUGAAGCUGGAUUAACACACCCAGGAUAACUCUGCCUCAACUCACUCAACUUCACCAGAUCUCCGUAAUCCUGAUCAGCUGUACUACGAGGCAGGAUAUCAACUAGCUUACUAAAUUCAGUUGUGGCCAGUCUAGAUCUGUGCGCGCACACGUAAAGGGGGCGGGGUCAGUGCCACCGGACCAAUCUCCACAAUGAAGAAGGCUGCAUGUCAUAUUUCACAGCCGAGGAACAGAGCAUCGUUUUACGCUAAUACGAGGAGUACUGCAACAUUAUAA